RNAcentral lists this ribosomal RNA (109 nucleotides) under Oryctolagus cuniculus (rabbit). Lineage: Eukaryota; Metazoa; Chordata; Mammalia; Lagomorpha; Leporidae. The record is from RNAcentral.
AUCUUCAGCCACACCACCCUGAACAUGCGUGAUCUCAUCUGAUCUCUGAAGCUAAGCAGGGUUGGGCCUUGUUAGUACUUGGAUGGGAGAACAGUGGUCCCCAAACAGG